GAACGCCUCUAAGUCAGAAUCCAGGCUAGAAGCGGCGCUUGUCCCUCCUCGGCUGUAUCGCGACCCGCAGUAGGGGCGUUUCGGCGUCCCCAGGGGCCCCUGUCAUUGGCAAAACUCCGGACGGUCUAAACCGCCGGUCGGAGCAGCUUUGAAACUCAAUUCCAAACGGUCGGCGAGAAGAAUCCUUUGCAGACGACUUAGAUACGCGACGGGGUAUUGUAAGUGGCAGAGUGGCCUUGCUGCCACGAUCCACUGAGAUUCAGCCCU
This 267-nucleotide ribosomal RNA is filed under the name Ginkgo biloba (maidenhair tree). RNAcentral describes it as "partial 26S ribosomal RNA". It matches the Rfam family "Eukaryotic large subunit ribosomal RNA", at positions 3122 to 3385 of the family's 3401-position model. Lineage: Eukaryota; Viridiplantae; Streptophyta; Ginkgoopsida; Ginkgoales; Ginkgoaceae. The record is from RNAcentral.